GGGUGGGGUAGGCGGGGAGAGCUGCCACUGGAUCUGCUUAAUCUGGAACCAGGGUCAAAGCAGUGACUGUCGGAAGCCACCAGGCCAAGAUGUCUUUCUAUCAUGGCUGGUGUCUUAUCACCAUACCCAGAGAGGGCUUCCCUUGGAGCUCUAGAAAGACGAUGACAGCAAAAAGUUAUCAAUCCCAAGGUGUAUAAAAAGGACAAAGCAGCGCCCUGAAAUCACACCCACUGGACGGAGAGCAUUUUAUACACUGGGCUACGUGACUUUGGCUUCUGACAGUUGGACUGAAAGAAGAGUAUUCAGAAAGUCUGUGGAGUGACUGAUUGGACAGAGCUGUCCCUUAUCAUACUGUAACUGAGCCAUGGUUCUGGCUGGAUAGCUUGGGGUCCUGGGAAUCAGGACUGCCAGGCUCAGAUGCAUCUGAAUGUGUCUGGAGCAGUUGCCGGGAGGGUCAGGAGCAGUCUGCUCUCAGAAGGAUCUAGGAAUCACUUGGAAAGGGUCCAGCCUGUGCACAUUGUUCCUCUUGUCCUGACUAUCCUGAGUGAGGGGCUAUAACGGUCAGAAACUGUUCUGUUGAUGGCUCUGGAGAGGCCCCCUGGAACUCUAGUUCUCAGCAGCCAACUCUGGUGAUGGAGGAUGGGAUUUAAAUGGUGGACACCUAAAGGAGAAGAAAGCACAAAAGACAUUUAGGUUGCAUCCUCAUCUGCCUAUUGUGAACAGUGCUGCAGUGAACAUGGAGUGCUAAUCUCUCUUUGAGAUCCUGAUUUCAGUACUUUUGGAUAACUGUGCAGAAGUGGGGUUGCUGGAUCAUACAGUAAUACAACUCAAUAGCAAAAAAACCACCCUAAUUACCCAAUUUAAAAAUGGGCUAAAGACUUGAAUAGACACUUCUUUGAAGAAGACAUACAGAUGGGCAACAGGCAGGUUCUUUACCAGUAGCACCACAUGGGAAUCCCUAGCAAAAGAAAGGUGACUGCUAGUUCCAACAAGGAUGAGUUCACACAUGAGGUCAGAUGUGUUUCUUUAAGAAGAGGGCAGUUGGACUUCCCUGGUGGUACAGUGAAUAAGAAUCCACUGGGGACAUGGGCUCGAUUCCUAGUCUGAGAAGAUUCCACAUGCCAUGGGCAACUAAAGCUUUUGUACCACAACUACUGAGCUCUAGGGCCAGAGAGCCACAGCUAAUGAGCCUCUGUGCUGAAGCCCUCGAAUCCUAGAGCCUGCCUGCUGCUAAUACUGAAGCCGGUGUGCCUAGAGCCUGUGCUCCGCAAGGAAGAGCAGCCCCUGCUCGCUGCAGCUAGUGAAAGCCCUUGCACAGAAAUGAAGAUCCUGUGCAACGAAAAAUAAAUAAUAAUGAAAAAAAGGAAAAAACCAGUUAUUUCAAAUUUGCUGGCCUCUUGCUUGUGACUGUCUGUGUGUGUGAGCUCACACGGAAGCACACACACAUCCCCACACCCACUCCCCCCUGCACACACAUAUAUAUACACACACACACACACACAAUGUAUCCCUUCAGGUAAAGGUGAUGUUUUGGGAGUUAAUAUGACUGUGCUUUAAAAUAAUCAUGUUAUGGGGAAAGCAUUUUGAAAAUUGAUGUUUGGAACUGUUUCUAUUAUUAUGUGAUUUUAAUGCCAAAAUGAAGUGUCUCAUUGCCAACUAUAGAGACUGGCAUAGCCACAGCCUCCAAAAUUAAGAAGUACACUUUUAAAACCCAUUUUGCAUUCUUCCAAAUGAAGAGUUUCUGGAGUUUAAAAAAUCCCAUUGUUAAAAAUAUCCCCAGAAACAACUGAUGAAAAUGAAACGGCUUCUAAAACAUCAACCAGCUUAUACUGGUUUUUGCCUCCCCAACCAGCUUAAACUGGUUCUGCUUCCUUCAAAUAAGUUCAUUAAUCAAACCUUGACUUAUUUUACAGAGACAACAGUGCAAGAUGGGAAACCAUCUCUCCAGGAUGACCCCCAACCAAGAAUCUUCAGUCUACAGAACUCAAAGAAUCAAAAGGUUGCCACUGGAACCCUUAACAAAGCAAAGAACUAAGUCAUUCAAUAAGGAAAACCUGGCUUCCAGUAGCAUGACUAGCUUAUAUGUUCUGAUUCAAGACUAGCCAAUCAGCUUCCAAGUUUGAAAUUCCCCUAACCCCUUAAAUUUUAUUUAAACCAACCCUGGAUCAUGGAGACAGAUUUGAGAGCUUUGUCUCCUGUCUCUCUGCUGGUUAACCUCACAAUAAAGAUUUUUUUCCCCCUCAAAA
Long non-coding RNA from Bos taurus (domestic cattle), 2246 nucleotides. NCBI's taxonomy places the organism in Eukaryota, Metazoa, Chordata, Mammalia, Artiodactyla, Bovidae. The record is from Ensembl.